GCUACCUACCAUGUGGGAGGAGAGAAUCUAAAAUGUAAACAGGUUAAUACUACACCAUGACAUCUGGUAGUGAUGAAGCUGAAAGAAAGAGAUGGUUGGAACGAUGCUGAUGAAAGGUUGCUUCAACUCAAGCAGAGGAGAGAAAGUCGUUCAACUUGAUCCCUCAACUUCUGAAGUCUGUGAGGGUCUUUGCUUGGCAUCAGAAAACUUUGGACCAGUUGUGUCAGUUCAUCAAGAGAAAGACCCCAUCCUCUGAAUUUAUCAGUGCGCAGUAAACAAGAGUUAAUCAAAGUACACCACCAAGAAUAAGUAAUUCCAAGAAGUGCCAUCAACGAACUCACUUGAACCCA
Passer domesticus (house sparrow) is the source of this 350-nucleotide long non-coding RNA. RefSeq lists it as uncharacterized. The transcript has 3 exons. The record is from RefSeq and is a predicted model, not a curated record. NCBI's taxonomy places the organism in Eukaryota, Metazoa, Chordata, Aves, Passeriformes, Passeridae.